RNAcentral lists this ribosomal RNA (466 nucleotides) under uncultured bacterium. RNAcentral describes it as "partial 16S ribosomal RNA". It matches the Rfam family "Bacterial small subunit ribosomal RNA", at positions 28 to 507 of the family's 1533-position model. The record is from RNAcentral.
GACGAACGCUGGCGGCGCGCCUAACACAUGCAAGUCGAACGAGCGAGAGGAGGUUUACUUUCUCAAGCGAGUGGCGAACGGGUGAGUAACGCGUGAGGAACCUGCCUCAAAGAGGGGGACAACAGUUGGAAACGACUGCUAAUACCGCAUAAGCCCACGACCCGGCAUCGGGUAGAGGGAAAAGGAGCAAUCCGCUUUGAGAUGGCCUCGCGUCCGAUUAGCUAGUUGGUGAGGUAAUGGCCCACCAAGGCGACGAUCGGUAGCCGGACUGAGAGGUUGAACGGCCACAUUGGGACUGAGACACGGCCCAGACUCCUACGGGAGGCAGCAGUGGGGAAUAUUGCACAAUGGGGGAAGCCCUGAUGCAGCGACGCCGCGUGGAGGAAGAAGGUCUUCGGAUUGUAAACUCCUGUUGUUGAGGAAGAUAAUGACGGUACUCAACAAGGAAGUGACGGCUAACUACGUG